AAGCUUAUUACGCCUAAAAUUAAAGGUAAAUAUCGAUUAUUCGAAUAAAGUUCUAGAUAGAAUACUGAUAAUGACAAUUUUCUAUCUAUUUGUCUUGACCAAAUUACGUGCCAGCAGUCGCGGUAAUACGUAGAAGACUAGUGUUAUUCAUCUUUAAUAGGUUUAAAGGGUACCUAGACGGUAUUAUUAGCCCAAGAAAGGGUACAAUAUAACUAGAGUUUUAUAGGAGAAGGAAGAAUUUAUGGAGGAGAGUUAAAAUUUGAUGAUUCCUUGAAGACUGGUAACGGCGAAAGCAACCUUCUAUCUAGUAACUGACGUUGAGGGACGAAGGCCUGGGUAGCAAACAGGAUUAGAUACCCUAGUAGUCCAGGCAGAGAAUUAUGAAUGUCAUUGGCUAGAUUAAUUUAGCCUCUAAAUGAAAGUGUAAGCAUUCCACCUUAAGAGUAAUGCGGCAACGCAGGAACUGAAAUCAUUAGACCGUUUCUGAAACCAGUAGUGAAGUAUGUUAUUUAAUUCGAUGCUCCGCGAAAAACCUUACCACAAUUUGAAUAAUCUUUUAUUCUUUAACGAAUAAAAGAAAUACAAGCGUUGCACGGCUGUCUUCAGUUAAUGUCGUGAGAUUUUGGUUAGUUCCAUAAAAUUAACGUAAACCCUUGCUUUAUUUUUAAAUAAUAUUUUAUAAAGUAGUUCGCCAUUAUAUUG
Molecule: ribosomal RNA, 702 nt
Filed under: Pseudeurotium zonatum
Lineage: Eukaryota; Fungi; Ascomycota; Leotiomycetes; Thelebolales; Pseudeurotiaceae
Description: mitochondrial SSU rRNA
Rfam family: Bacterial small subunit ribosomal RNA
Source: RNAcentral